GACGAACUUUGGCGGCGUGCUUAACACAUGCAAGUCGAACGGAAAGGCCCUGCUUUUGUGGGGUGCUCGAGUGGCGAACGGGUGAGUAACACGUGAGUAACCUGCCCUUGACUUUGGGAUAACUUCAGGAAACUGGGGCUAAUACCGGAUAGGAGCUCCUGCUGCAUGGUGGGGGUUGGAAAGUUUCGGCGGUUGGGGAUGGACUCGCGGCUUAUCAGCUUGUUGGUGGGGUAGUGGCUUACCAAGGCUUUGACGGGUAGCCGGCCUGAGAGGGUGACCGGCCACAUUGGGACUGAGAUACGGCCCAGACUCCUACGGGAGGCAGCAGUGGGGAAUAUUGCACAAUGGGCGGAAGCCUGAUGCAGCAACGCCGCGUGCGGGAUGACGGCCUUCGGGUUGUAAACCGCUUUCGCCUGUGACGAAGCGUGAGUGACGGUAAUGGGUAAAGAAGCACCGGCUAACUACGUGCCAGCAGCCGCGGUGAUACGUAGGGUGCGAGCGUUGUCCGGGUUUAUUGGGCGUAAAGGGCUCGUAGGUGGUUGAUCGCGUCGGAAGUGUAAUCUUGGGGCUUAACCCUGAGCGUGCUUUCGAUACGGGUUGACUUGAGGAAGGUAGGGGAGAAUGGAAUUCCUGGUGGAGCGGUGGAAAUGCGCAGAUAUCAGGAGGAACACCAGUGGGCGAAGGCGGUUCUCUGGGCCUUUCCUGACGCUGAGGAGCGAAAGCGUGGGGAGCGAACAGGCUUAGAUACCCUGGUAGUCCACGCUGUAAACGGUGGGUACUAGGUGUGGGGUCCAUUCCACGGGUUCCGUGCCGUAGCUAACGCUUUAAGUACCCCGCCUGGGGAGUACGGCCGCAAGGCUAAAACUCAAAGGAAUUGACGGGGCCCCGCACAAGCGGCGGAGCAUGCGGAUUAAUUCGAUGCAACGCGUAGAACCUUACCUGGGUUUGACAUGGAUCGGGAGUGCUCAGAGAUGGGUGUGCCUCUUUUGGGGUCGGUUCACAGGUGGUGCAUGGCUGUCGUCAGCUCGUGUCGUGAGAUGUUGGGUUAAGUCCCGCAACGAGCGCAACCCUUGUUCACUGUUGCCAGCACGUUAUGGUGGGGACUCAGUGGAGACCGCCGGGGUCAACUCGGAGGAAGGUGGGGAUGACGUCAAGUCAUCAUGCCCCUUAUGUCCAGGGCUUCACGCAUGCUACAAUGGCUGGUACAGAGAGUGGCGAGCCUGUAAGGGUGAGCGAAUCUCGGAAAGCCGGUCUCAGUUCGGAUUGGGGUCUGCAACUCGACCUCAUGAAGUCGGAGUCGCUAGUAAUCGCAGAUCAGCAACGCUGCGGUGAAUACGUUCCCGGGGCU
Molecule: ribosomal RNA, 1348 nt
Filed under: uncultured bacterium
Lineage: Bacteria
Description: partial 16S ribosomal RNA
Rfam family: Bacterial small subunit ribosomal RNA
Source: RNAcentral